UCCCCUUGGAGUUUUUCCUCUAUGAGCCUGAGAUACAGAUUUUACUCCUUACAGAUCUAUAGAUGGACACAAAUGGAGUCAUUGGAGGCUUGGCACUGCACCGGUGUUCUCUACCACAAAAGCUUCCCUAGGACUAUGAUGUAUUGACCCAUGGUUGGAAGAUGUAAGGACAUGUCUAUGCUGAACAAUUUAACCUUGUGAAGAAAAUUCCAAUGAUUGCUGGCUAAAUUAAAGCUACAAUUACAUAGCUGCUUGAAGCCUAGGGCUGUGAGCAAGGUUAUGCUCAGCCAGGUGGCUGCACAGAGCCCAGGACUAAGAGCUCUUGUUAUCGGAAGUAGAUUAGGAAAAACACAUCUAGUUACCAUGGCUUAAGGGAACUGCUGGCUGCUGGGAAAAAGGAAAGGCUACUCCUGACAGCUGUCCUUGG
Long non-coding RNA from Tympanuchus pallidicinctus (lesser prairie-chicken), 427 nucleotides. RefSeq lists it as uncharacterized. The record is from RefSeq and is a predicted model, not a curated record. The transcript is spliced from 3 exons. Lineage: Eukaryota; Metazoa; Chordata; Aves; Galliformes; Phasianidae.